AUUCACCUUUUGCAACAUUGCAAUCACUUUCUCCCUGACCCUAGCCAGGCACACAUCUCCGUGAACAGCUAAAGCAUGGUGAGUGGCAGUGAGGGCCAC
Chelonoidis abingdonii (Abingdon island giant tortoise) is the source of this 99-nucleotide non-coding RNA. The record is from RefSeq and is a predicted model, not a curated record. NCBI's taxonomy places the organism in Eukaryota, Metazoa, Chordata, Testudines, Testudinidae.